AGGACGCCCAGCAGAAGCUCCAACCCAGGAGCAGUUGCCACCCUUACAGGAGGGAGCUGAGGAGCCAGGAAGCGGGCCCCAAGACUGGCUGCUGUUGGAACCCCAGGGAGCACCAGGUGCUGAUGCGGAGGAACCUGAAGACCUUGAUGCUACGUUUGGAGAACUGGAUGGCUGAAGCAUAAGAGGCACUGGCAGCUCUUUAAUGCCAUUGUGACAGGUCUCUAGGAACUUGUUGUGGAAGUGCAGAGUUACCUGCUGACUCAGUCAGAUCAGCUCACCACUGCUAUGCGAGGAUUUCAGCAGAGAAGCACUUUCAUCUGAGGCUCUUCAAUGCAAUUAAUUGCUGUCACACUAGCUUUGUCAGAGCUAAUUAAACGGAUCUACACAUUCAUACUAAUAGCUUAUUCUCAGAAAGAGAAGAGACCAGGAGGUCACUUGCUCCUACAACCCUCAACCUCCUUCAGUGUUUGGAAAACCUGAUGGCAUCUGUGUGAAAUUUAUGAAUACCAUUAUCUCUUAAUACUGUCACCUUUUUAGCAGUACAUGGAGAAUAGCAAUGGUUUCCUUUCUUGUGUAUUUAUUAUUUAUGCCCAAUUUGGACUGGUGGAAUUAGCAACCUAGAUCAUCAUUCUGAAAAAUGUCAUACUCCCUUAAUCCCAA
This is a long non-coding RNA of Mauremys mutica (yellowpond turtle), 660 nucleotides long. RefSeq lists it as uncharacterized. The record is from RefSeq and is a predicted model, not a curated record. The transcript has 3 exons. Lineage: Eukaryota; Metazoa; Chordata; Testudines; Geoemydidae.